AUUGAACGCUGGCGGCAUGCCUUACACAUGCAAGUCGAACGGCAGCACGGGAGCAAUCCUGGUGGCGAGUGGCGAACGGGUGAGUAAUAUAUCGGAACGUGCCCGGUCGUGGGGGAUAACGUAGCGAAAGCUACGCUAAUACCGCAUACGAUCUACGGAUGAAAGCGGGGGGAUCGCAAGACCUCGCGCGAUUGGAGCGGCCGAUAUCAGAUUAGGUAGUUGGUGAGGUAAAGGCUCACCAAGCCGACGAUCUGUAGCUGGUCUGAGAGGACGACCAGCCACACUGGGACUGAGACACGGCCCAGACUCCUACGGGAAGCAGCAGUGGGGAAUUUUGGACAAUGGGCGCAAGCCUGAUCCAGCAAUGCCGCGUGCAGGAUGAAGGCCUCGG
RNAcentral lists this ribosomal RNA (391 nucleotides) under uncultured bacterium. RNAcentral's name for it is "bacterial SSU rRNA". It matches the Rfam family "Bacterial small subunit ribosomal RNA", at positions 29 to 420 of the family's 1533-position model. The record is from RNAcentral.